Molecule: long non-coding RNA, 332 nt
Filed under: Hordeum vulgare
Lineage: Eukaryota; Viridiplantae; Streptophyta; Magnoliopsida; Poales; Poaceae
Description: long non-coding RNA (HVUL_LNC001839)
Source: RNAcentral
GGUGAUGUGACAGGCCCUUGUGCCGUAAUUCUUGGCUGAAUUCAGUGAGCCGCUCGAAUUGGGAAGAACUGUUUCUUCUUCCAAUACCCCCGUGCAGAAAGAGUAUCAGUAUGUGUUCUCUUGAAUCCGGUGCCGUUUUUGCUUCGCAUCCGGUUGAUGGCGAUGCAACUCCUAUUUGAUACCAACAAAGAUCUCACCCUGUUUCCCUCCCAGCAAAGAAAAGAAAAGUAAAGAAAUCGCAAGGCGUCGCAGUCGAUGGAGCUUCAAACAGCUGCAUCGAUCAACUCCCACCAGCAUCAGCAUAAAUACGAUGCCCGUACCAAGGCCGGAAG